GCCCGCCUAUUUUUUGGUCAAAACUUAAAUUUCCCUCUUUUCACAAAACUCCUCAUUUUAUCUUGGAGAAAGAAAUAAAGGGUUCAGAUUCCACCUCUCUCUUCUCUCAGAGGCCCAGCUCCACAGCUCCUGUGCUCUUCACCUCUCUCUUCUUUCGACUUUGCCCGCCUCAGCUUGUCAAAACGACAAAACCUAAACUGCAGUCGCCAUCUCUCCUCUCUCUCUCUCUCUCUCUCUCUCUAGUCUCUCCGGAACGGUCCCUCUCCCUCUCAGCCUCUCUCCUCGGCCGUCGAUGGCCCUCGCUCUCCUCAACGGUGACUCCGGUGACGUUUAAAUUGAGAUGGGUUCGUGAAGCGGCUCCCUCCAACUAGUUCGCAAGAAGGAGCUCUCCGACUACCAGUAUAGUCCUUUUAAUCCUCGUAUGUCCCUCUCUCAAAAACUCGAUCUGUCCUUGAAAUUUCUUUUGUUUUUUUUUAUUCGAUUGAUUCGAUCUGUCAUGAUUCAUUCGGUUGAUUUGAUGUGUGAAACAAUGGAUUUCUUUCUGCUUUUGGGUGUCUGAUAUAUCAAUUUGUUGAUUGGUAUACUUGUAUUUCUUCUGCUUUGUUCAAAAUUGUGGACUGUUUCGACUCGUGUAACUAAAGAUCAAAUCUUUGUUCGAUUUGAUUGAUGAAAGACUAUGUUGAAGAUGUUAAUGGCUUUAGUGGUGAGGAGGAGGAGCUCUCGGUUUCAAGAGGUGGGCCCGUCUACAUUGAGAUCAGUCUGAGUGGUCCUCUCACCAGUGUCGGUCUCUUCCAGUCUUCUAUUCUCCAAGAGCUUCAGGUGAGCUUUGUUUUGUUCUACUUUGCUAGUAUUCUGAUAGAGCCAAUUACAAAGUUGUUUGAUGUUGAACUUGGAGUUGGCUUCAAGUUCAUCGCAACUUAUUCAAAGAGGUAGAUUGGGGCCUAUAGUCCACCCUUAACACCCUAUAUAUAUAUAUAUAUAUAUAUAUAUAUAUAUAUAUAUAUAUAUAUAUAUAUAUAUAUAUAUCAUUUAGCAAAUUAGAGAGCAUAUUUGAGAAUGAUGAACGUUUCAAAGUAGUUGAAAGAGAUAGAGACCGCAGGAUUUUUUUGAUAGCUAUUUGGAGGAACUUCAGAAGAAAAUAUCAUAGAUCAACAUGUUCAUAAGGGAACUAAUCUAUAGCCAGUUCCUGACAAGGAGCACUCAUGCUGAAGGUUCUUAAUAAAGGUUAGAUACCAGCUUUUAUGAGGUUUUAGAGCCUUCUUCAGUGUACAAUCAAAGACAAAUGACACUUAAAAGAAAGAGUACAGGGAAGCAAAAUGAUGUACCAUUUAGUUCCCCUUUUUCUGUAUUGCAAUAUUGAAAUCGAUCUUAUAUAUGGUACUUAAUUGAAUUUGCUCUAUUUGUGUUUUCAGAUUUGGUCAAUAACCUUGGUGCCAUUGCAAGGUCUAGCACCAAGGAAUUCAUGGAAGUCUAGGCUGCUGGAGCUGAUGUUAGCAUGACUGGUCAGUUUGGUGUCGGGUUCUACUGUGGAUAUCUUGUUGCUGAGAAGGAAAAGGAAGGAAAGGUAUAGAGUUCGGAAGUUGAUGAAGACGUACAAGGAAGUGGACUAGUACAAUAUGUUUCUGGCCUUGAUGUUUUUGGGCUUUAUGUUUAGGUAGGGUUAGUAUGUUAAUGUUGGGGUGAUGAUGGAAUGAAUUGGUUUUGAAUGUUUAAUCAAUGGAUAUGUUUUUGAAUGUUGGUGAA
Rosa rugosa (rugosa rose) is the source of this 1743-nucleotide long non-coding RNA. RefSeq lists it as uncharacterized. The transcript is spliced from 4 exons. The record is from RefSeq and is a predicted model, not a curated record. Lineage: Eukaryota; Viridiplantae; Streptophyta; Magnoliopsida; Rosales; Rosaceae.